GGUAGAUAGCUGAAUGGCUUAUCAUUGGAAUGGGACCAGUGGCCUUAUAAGAAGAGAGACCUGAGCUAGCACACACAGCCCCCUCACAUGGGCCACCUCAGUACUCUGCAGGGUCCCCACCAGCAGGAAAGCCUUCACCAGAUAUGGCCCUUUGACUCUGACUUCUCAGCCUCCAUAACCGAUGUCUAAACACCCAGGUUGACAACCACAGUCUUAAUAUUUCAUUAACUCCAGAAAUAGAAGAAAGUGUCUAAUUUCAGCAGGAUUGGUGUAUUCUCCCUCAUUCUUGGUGGAAAGAAAAGUGCUUGAGAUAGAGAAGCUGGGACGGGAGCAGAAGGAGGCUGUACACCUCCCCUCAGAGGAGCAGUCCCUCUAUAGAAGACCAAAAGCGGGCAGAGAAUAUUCAAACUUGCCCCUGUUUGCCAAGGAGACUGAGUAAAUGUCCAGCUCAGCAUGAAAGUGAUAAAGCCCAAGUGGAGUCCACAGACUGCUCAUCCUCAUUCUGUCUCCAUGCUAGAGAAGCAGGCCAGGUCUUCAUUUAUGAGAGAAGGGAUUUAUGAGAGAUCGACCAAAAAAAAAGAUAGAGAGAAAUGAUGACAAGUGUGAGAAGACUGACUUAUGAAGGGAUAAGACGAUAGAAGAGGAGAGGGAGGAAAAAAGAAGAGCAACCAAUGGAGCCACCCAAGAAGUUUAGAUCUUAGAGAACAGGAAGGAUCACAAUGACUCUUCUUGCAUUAGUAACAAUAACUACCAUUUAUCAGGCCCUUGCCAUGUGAGACAGGGAUGAAUGGAUGGAUGAAUAUAUAAAUAGGUAUGCAGCUAUGCAUAUAUGUACAUAGAUGUCAUGUAGUUUAAUUCCAGUUAACUUAAUCCUUAUUUAGGAAGAGUCACUAAAUAACUCUUGUUCCUAACAAAGUGCCUGAGAGUGGGUGCAACACUGCUCAGCACAUUAACCAUAUUUACCGUCUAAGAGAUAGAAAGCAACCUGUCUCGUUUGAUGAGGAAGCCAUAAAGUUUUAGGGAAUGGGAAGUAAAUCAAC
RNAcentral lists this long non-coding RNA (1040 nucleotides) under Homo sapiens (human). RNAcentral's name for it is "HSALNT0306025". The record is from RNAcentral. Lineage: Eukaryota; Metazoa; Chordata; Mammalia; Primates; Hominidae.